AAGAAAAUUAUGUUUUGGCUUAUAUAAUAGAUGUUACUUAUCUUUUAAUCAUGACAUGUUUAUUUACACUUUUUUCAUCAUUUUGCCAUGAACUUGAUGGUUGACAUAAUUAUAUAUUUCUCAAAAAAUUAUUGUUACAGAAGGAAAUUUUUUAAAGCAAGGUAACAAGGCAGCAAGUUCGUAGCGUAUUGCGUGAUGUUUGUGCGGGAGGUGCAAUAUGAACUAGAUAAUCAGAUACAAUUAAUGGUGAUAGAGGUUGACUAUACUCUGCAAGGAUACAACAGAACUGGAAGCUUGACGCAAGGACCAAAAAAGAAGAAUUGUAGAGUAAUAACUUCAUGCCUUCGUCAACCAUUAUG
Molecule: long non-coding RNA, 359 nt
Organism: Lycium barbarum (goji berry)
Lineage: Eukaryota; Viridiplantae; Streptophyta; Magnoliopsida; Solanales; Solanaceae
Exons: 2
Source: RefSeq, a predicted model, not a curated record